UCAGACGAUGCGUCAUGCAUAUCAAUAAGCGGAGGAAAAGAAACUAACAAGGAUUCCCCUAGUAACGGCGAGUGAAGCGGGAAGAGCUCAAAUUUGAAAUCUUAAAGGGUUUCCCUUUACGAAUUGUAGUUUAAAGAAGUGUUCUCUGUUGAGGUUUUGGUAAAAGUUCUUUGGAAUAGGACAUCAUAGAGGGUGAGAAUCCCGUAUUUGACCUUUACUUUCAACUUUGUGAUACACUUUCAAAGAGUCGGAUUGUUUGGGAAUGCAGUCCAAAAUGGGUGGUAAAUUUCAUCUAAAGCUAAAUAUUGGCGAGAGACCGAUAGCGAACAAGUACCGUGAGGGAAAGAUGAAAAGAACUUUGAAAAGAGAGUUAAACAGUACGUGAAAUUGUCAAAAGGGAAGCGUUUGACACCAGUGUUGUUUUUCUGAAAAUCAAUUAAAGAACUGUUUAUGCUAAGUUGUUUAGACUUUAUCAGCUAUCUGUUUAGUUUUGAGCUUUUCUUUAAUGCACUUUUCAGUUAACAAGUCAACAUCAAUUUCUUUUGCUGUAAAAAAGCUUGAGGAAGGUGGCUUGAGAUUCGUCUUAAGUGUUUAUAGCCUCUUGCCUAUGCAGUCGGAGAGAUUGAGGUCUGCAGCGUAGAUCCUUCGGGGCUAAAUGCAUUUGUGCUAAGUUAUAGCAUUUUAUAGACAACUUGUUGACUAUGAUUUGUCUUGUAGCUUACUCGCUUAUGUUAUUUUACCUACGCUUAGGAUGUUGACACACGCGCGUGCUCG
This 774-nucleotide ribosomal RNA is filed under the name uncultured Neocallimastigales. RNAcentral describes it as "partial large subunit ribosomal RNA". It matches the Rfam family "Eukaryotic large subunit ribosomal RNA", at positions 18 to 643 of the family's 3401-position model. Lineage: Eukaryota; Fungi; Neocallimastigomycota; Neocallimastigomycetes; Neocallimastigales. The record is from RNAcentral.